GAGGGUAUAGCUCACUGGAAGGGAGUGUGCCUAUCAUGCAUGAGGUCCUGGGUUCAAUCUCCAGUACCCCCA
Molecule: transfer RNA, 72 nt
Filed under: Camelus bactrianus (Bactrian camel)
Lineage: Eukaryota; Metazoa; Chordata; Mammalia; Artiodactyla; Camelidae
Also listed under: 2 other names
Rfam family: tRNA
About the family: Transfer RNA (tRNA) molecules are approximately 80 nucleotides in length.
Source: Rfam by way of RNAcentral